UUUUUAUAAUUAUUUUAUACAAAGGACACUUAAAAUUUUAAAUGUUUGUCUCCCUCACUUUACAGAUGGAAACUCUAUCACCAAGUGAUCCACCUCAGCGGGAAUACAAAUUACCUGCUCGUUCCAGCCCCUUUGCACUUUGCAUUAGCUAAAGAGCCCCUGGGAAAUACACAGUGUUAGCAGGUGACUCUCUGGGCCACAUGCCGAAAAAGGCAGCUGUUUUACUUAAGUUGGUUGAAAGGGAAAUGUGAAGGACACCUAAAGGUCUGCUGGCUUAUCUGUCUUCUUCUCGAACUCCCUCUGGCUGAAUGGUCUUGUGUACGCAUGGAGAGGGGGGUAGAGAGAGAAAAGAGAGAAGCAGGAGGGGGGGAUGGAGAAACUUGGGUUGUACUGGAGAUUUCUAGUGUUUUUUUUUUUUUUUUUAAGAUUUUGUUUAUUGAUUACAGAGAGAGAGCGAGAGAGCGAGCACAGUGGGAGGAGCAGAGAGAGAAUCUCAAGCAGACUCCAUGCCAAGGGCAGAGCCCAAUCCUGAGACCUUGAGAUCACGACCCGAGCCGAAAUCAAGAGUCGGACGCUUAACUGGCUGCGCCACCGAGGCGCCCCUCUCCUGGGGUUUUCUGUCUCAAGAAGCAGCUGGCGCGGUGGCCCGGCCCGGGACCUCGGGAGCCACGACCGCAAGGUGUGCAGAAGCUGCGCCUCCUGCCUCUACUACUCAAGGACGCCCCGGGGCCUCGACCCUCCUGCACCAUCACCACGUAUGUCACCUGUGGCUCCCAAGGUCUUUUCCAAAGACGCUCCAGCCAGGAGGGGAGGGACAGAUGGCUUGGCCUGCCAUUAAGCGACUUGGACGUGUCUGGUCUGACCGUGAUUGCAAACCUUGAGGCAACCCGGUGGAUGCAAGGUUACUCGUGGCGGGUGUUCCACCUCCGUGGACAGGACUCAAGGACACGACUGGUGUAGGGAAAUGGUCACGGUUCCUCCUGCUGCUGCCACCUUGGAGCAGCUCGGAAUAGAAGUUGUUACUGCCCAUUCCAGUCUUUAAGAUAAUUCUGCUUUUUCUAUUUUUAUUUAUUUUUAAAGAUUUUAUUGAUUUAUUCCUGAGAGACACAGAGACACACACACAGAGAGAGGCGGAGACACGGGCAGAGGGAGACGCAGGCUCCAAGCAGGGAGCCCGACGCGGGACUCGAUCCCGGGACCCCGGGGUCACGCCCUGGGCUGAAGGCAGACGCCCAACUGCUGAGCCACUCGGGUGCCCCUAAUAUAAUUUUCCUAAUCAAUUAGCAGGUGUUUAUACGUGUUUCCU
RNAcentral lists this long non-coding RNA (1306 nucleotides) under Vulpes vulpes (red fox). RNAcentral describes it as "lncRNA (ENSVVUG00000008945.1)". The record is from RNAcentral. Lineage: Eukaryota; Metazoa; Chordata; Mammalia; Carnivora; Canidae.